UACCCUGUGGACUCGAAUUUGUGCUGGCUUCUGGAAUCCACAAAUUCGAUUCUUAAGGACUAC
RNAcentral lists this microRNA precursor (63 nucleotides) under Petromyzon marinus (sea lamprey). RNAcentral's name for it is "Pma-Mir-10-P1o1_pre stem-loop". The record is from RNAcentral. Lineage: Eukaryota; Metazoa; Chordata; Hyperoartia; Petromyzontiformes; Petromyzontidae.